CCUACGGGGGGCUGCAGUGAGGAAUAUUGGUCAAUGGGAGAGAUCCUGAACCAGCCAAGCCGCGUGAGGGAAGACGGCCCUACGGGUUGUAAACUUCUUUUGUCAGGGAGCAAUUGAGUCCACGUGUGGGCUUAGCGAGAGUACCUGAAGAAAAAGCAUCGGCUAACUCCGUGCCAGCAGCCGCGGUAAUACGGAGGAUGCGAGCGUUAUCCGGAUUUAUUGGGUUUAAAGGGUGCGUAGGCGGAAUAUCAAGUCAGCGGUAAAAAUUCGGGGCUCAACCCCGUCGUGCCGUGGAAACUGAGUUUCUUGAGUGGGCGAGAGGUAUGCGGAAUGCGUGGUGUAGCGGUGAAAUGCAUAGAUAUCACGCAGAACUCCGAUUGCGAAGGCAGCAUACCGGCGCCCAACUGACGCUGAAGCACGAAAGCGUGGGUAUCGAACAGGAUUAGAUACCCCGGUAGUC
This 460-nucleotide ribosomal RNA is filed under the name uncultured bacterium. RNAcentral's name for it is "partial 16S ribosomal RNA". It matches the Rfam family "Bacterial small subunit ribosomal RNA", at positions 338 to 795 of the family's 1533-position model. The record is from RNAcentral.